This 255-nucleotide ribosomal RNA is filed under the name uncultured bacterium. RNAcentral's name for it is "partial 16S ribosomal RNA". It matches the Rfam family "Bacterial small subunit ribosomal RNA", at positions 524 to 776 of the family's 1533-position model. The record is from RNAcentral.
UACGUAGGGUGCAAGCGUUAAUCGGAAUUACUGGGCGUAAAGCGUGCGCAGGCGGUUGUGUAAGACAGAUGUGAAAUCCCCGGGCUCAACCUGGGAACUGCAUUUGUGACUGCACGGCUCGAGUGCGGCAGAGGGGGAUGGAAUUCCGCGUGUAGCAGUGAAAUGCGUGAGAUAUGCGGAGGAACACCGAUGGCGAAGGCAAUCCCCUGGGCCUGCACUGACGCUCAUGCACGAAAGCGUGGGGGAGCAAACAGG